This is a long non-coding RNA of Apus apus (common swift), 1035 nucleotides long. RefSeq lists it as uncharacterized. The record is from RefSeq and is a predicted model, not a curated record. The transcript has 8 exons. Lineage: Eukaryota; Metazoa; Chordata; Aves; Apodiformes; Apodidae.
GGGAUGAGAGGGAGGAUGCGGGGUGGAUCCCCGCAGGCUGCCCGCACAUCUUGCCGUGGCCCUAGUGACAAACCCCUCGGUGCCCCCCGUGAGGACGGUGCAGGGGGGGCCUGAGGGCCUGUGGGGGAGGGAGUUAAAAGCCUCCUCCUCGCUGCUGACCCACCCACAAGCGAACGCACCCUUGAAGGGAGCUCCGUCUGGGAGGGGAUCCGGUGGUGGCUCAUCUCUUCCCCAGACUCCCAGCUACCAUCUCUCUGCAAAAUGGAGGCAGCGCUGUGGGAACUGCCGAACCUGCUGCCAAAGCUACAGGCAUCUCUUGUUGUGAAGUCAAGCAAUGACAAACUGCAGAGACUGAAAUUCUCUGGGAAGAAAACUUCAUGUAUUUGAGGAAGUGCUAAGCAUCGUGAUGAUAAUUAGUGAUUGUUGAAGGCAUAAUUGGAAUAUCAUUGGAAGCAGAUGAGUGUGAAUGAUGAGUUAUUAGUCACCACAUGACACCACAUACACUUUGAAUGAAUAGAAAAUAAGCAGCUCAAGCAGUGUUGCACUCAAGAUUUGCAGAUUUUUGGCAGCCUGGAUGUGGAAGUCCUGAAGGGAAGGGAAAGUAUGGCAAGUGCAUGGAGCUGUCACAGGGCAGUCACACAGCGAUGAGAUCCCAAGCCCACUUCUGUUUAUUAUCUCUCUGGCUGUCAAGAACAGCUUGGGCUGUUUGGAGCUUUCUGAAGAGGAAACCUGUUAGCAUCAAAAUCCAAUAAAAGCAAGAAAAAAAAUCUCAGCAGUGAUGAAGUAAGGUGAUACCAUUUGGAAUGACAAUGUCCAAGAGGUACUCAUCUAUUCCUCAUGGAAGAAGGGGUACUCCUUUUUGUGCACAUCUCUGAAUACAAGGCCAUUCUCCAGACAAUUGGGAAUACCCAGCUUUAAGCCAAUUUGUCCAUGUGCUUUUGUUGUGAAGAGGAGAAAGGACAGCAAGCUACAAGUGACAACUUACUGGUUUGAACAUGUCUGGGUCAGGAAAAUAUUUUGGAUUCCUGUGCAACC